GUGUCUGGUGGGUAGUUUGACUGGGGCGGUCUCCUCCUAAAGAGUAACGGAGGAGCACGAAGGUUGGCUAAUCCUGGUCGGACAUCAGGAGGUUAGUGCAAUGGCAUAAGCCAGCUUGACUGCGAGCGUGACGGCGCGAGCAGGUGCGAAAGCAGGUCAUAGUGAUCCGGUGGUUCUGAAUGGAAGGGCCAUCGCUCAACGGAUAAAAGGUACUCCGGGGAUAACAGGCUGAUACCGCCCAAGAGUUCAUAUCGACGGCGGUGUUUGGCACCUCGAUGUCGGCUCAUCACAUCCUGGGGCUGAAGUAGGUCCCAAGGGUAUGGCUGUUCGCCAUUUAAAGUGGUACGCGAGCUGGGUUUAGAACGUCGUGAGACAGUUCGGUCCCUAUCUGCCGUGGGCGCUGGAGAACUGAGGGGGGCUGCUCCUAGUACGAGAGGACCGGAGUGGACGCAUCACUGGUGUUCGGGUUGUCAUGCCAAUGGCACUGCCCGGUAGCUAAAUGCGGAAGAGAUAAGUGCUGAAAGCAUCUAAGCACGAAACUUGCCCCGAGAUGAGUUCUCCCUGACUCCUUGAGAGUCCUGAAGGAACGUUGAAGACGACGACGUUGAUAGGCCGGGUGUGUAAGCGCAGCGAUGCGUUGAGCUAACCGGUACUAAUGAACCGUGAGGCUUAACCUU
RNAcentral lists this ribosomal RNA (677 nucleotides) under Escherichia coli. Its description in RNAcentral is "partial 23S ribosomal RNA". It matches the Rfam family "Bacterial large subunit ribosomal RNA", at positions 2254 to 2925 of the family's 2925-position model. The record is from RNAcentral. RNAcentral also lists the same sequence under 1 other name. Lineage: Bacteria; Pseudomonadati; Pseudomonadota; Gammaproteobacteria; Enterobacterales; Enterobacteriaceae.